Apodemus sylvaticus (European woodmouse) is the source of this 104-nucleotide small nuclear RNA. NCBI's taxonomy places the organism in Eukaryota, Metazoa, Chordata, Mammalia, Rodentia, Muridae. The record is from RefSeq and is a predicted model, not a curated record.
GUGCUCGCUUCAGCAGCACAUAUACUAAAAUUGGAACAAUACAGAGAUCAGCAUGGUCCCUCCUCAAGGAUGACAUGCAAAUUCCUGAAGCUGUUCCAUUAAAA